Selaginella moellendorffii is the source of this 976-nucleotide long non-coding RNA. RefSeq lists it as uncharacterized. The transcript has 2 exons. The record is from RefSeq and is a predicted model, not a curated record. Lineage: Eukaryota; Viridiplantae; Streptophyta; Lycopodiopsida; Selaginellales; Selaginellaceae.
AACUUGCUCAGGCAAUUCUCUCUGCGUAGGAGAGCUCUUUUUCUUGUUCUGAAAAUUCUUUGUGUUUGUUUGAGUUCCAAAGCAAAAGUCUAUGCGAACAUGGAAAGCGUGUUCGAUAUUUUCACUGUGGUUAGCGACAAAGCAUUGCAAAGCAUACUCAUGGGCGGCUUCACUUGCGUUGUGGGCGGCUUGCCCUGGUAUGCCGAUCAACGAGACCUGGAUGGAUUCAUCCGGUUUGGAGAUAUCACCAGCGCCAAGGUAAAUACACAAGAUUCAUAGCCCGUUUUGCUCUUCUUUUCGCAAUUAAUUAGAUCAUGCGUGACGAGAAAAACUUCCCAAUCGGCUAGAAGACUAAAGAAAGAAGGAGCAACAAAUCCCCCCAAAAUCCACUUACAUUCCAGAAAUGCAGGCGCCACGGCUGCCGCCGCUAGAAUUUGCCAUGGAUUCGACGAGAUGGACGUUAGCGCUGCCGGAUCUGAUCCAUGUUUCCCCUACCUUUAGCAGCGCAAGGCCAUUGAGAAGAUGAACGGCAAGCCCUUGCCGGACACGGGCUAUGAUAGACGUGUUUGAAGCGAAGCCAGGGAGGGACUCUUGGAGCUGGGACACGCGAGAGUGCGAGAGGUGUGGACUGCCCGGCCACUGCAAUAAGGGUUGCAGCUCCAUUCCCCCUACCGAUCCAAAGCAUGUCUUUGCGGGAGAGCUCAAGACCCACCCGAGGUUAAGCUGACCGGUGAGGACUGGCCAUCACCCAGAGAGAAUGGCGGCAGGCGAGGAGAACGUAUUGGAACAUGACGGUGGAUCCAGGAGAGCGUUUUGGAGGCCUUUGAUCGCUAUGGCCCCUGGGAGUUCUUCCACGAUCCUAUGGACAGAGCUGAUGGCUCUUUGCGUCCAGUCCCCAGGAUUAUCAGACCGUAAGAGUAAGGGACUGGGACGUUUCUUUUCUAGUAAAUAAAGGGUUCACAAAAUUUAGAGAUCA